UAGGUAUAUCCUAAGUAGAACUUCUUUUAAUUUGAUCAACUUUAUAAAAAAGUGUUAAUAUCAACAACAUCAAAUAUAUAUGGUAUAAAAAUAUAUGUUAUGAUGAAUCUAAUCAAGCUAAUUUGAUGUUGUAGACAUUGGUAUAUUUUUCUACAAACUUGGUCAAACUUAAAAUAGUUUGACUUAGGACAAAUCUAA
RNAcentral lists this microRNA precursor (198 nucleotides) under Triticum aestivum (bread wheat). RNAcentral's name for it is "MIR1435 microRNA precursor family". It matches the Rfam family "MIR1435 microRNA precursor family". The record is from Rfam by way of RNAcentral. Lineage: Eukaryota; Viridiplantae; Streptophyta; Magnoliopsida; Poales; Poaceae. RNAcentral also lists the same sequence under 1 other name.